UAAUUUCCAUUUUUUAUAUGAUUCCACUUGGUAAACUGAAUCUGGUCAUAAAGGAAAACCUCAUCUUCUCGACAGGAUUAGAAAAAAAAUAAGAAACUAUUUGAGAGUUUCAGUAGACAGAUUUACCUGGCAUCAUCAACUAAAAAAAAAAUCUUGCUAUGUAAAUCAGAAGCUGACCGUGUCUUCUCUUCAACACCCGUUCUAAGUAAGCAGAUAAGCCUUUUAUUCAACUUCACUGUCGGGUCAAAUGGAAAAUUACGCAUUGAGGGCCUACUUUGUGCAGAGUGCCGGACUGAACACAGCUGAAAGCUCUAGAACUGCAGAUGUCAGAAAGGGAGGCUCCUGGUGCCCAACAAUGUCACCUGGCAGUACUGCAUUUGUGGGGUCUGAUUCUCAGCAUUUCAAAGCAGAGCACACUGCUGUCCAUAUACGUGGAAUUGGCCCGUUUCUCAUGGAUGGGAUCAUACGAGCCAAGCACAUGACAUGGCAACAAAACAAACCAAUCCGUGGACCCAGAAACCCAAUGCGUUGUUUUAACAAUGAUGUUCUUGACUGAUCUGCUUCUGCUCCUAUUAAGGACCCGCUUCCAGAUAUCGAGGCGUCUUGGAGGCCAACCAGUAAUUAGAAGGUUUCUCAGUGAGAGUGCACUCAGCACCAAGGAAGGGAAUCUUGAGGAGUAUUUCACCCUCUUUGUGAUCCCCCUGUACCUAGUGUUCUGCCACUAUGGUGCAACCAAUCACACUGAACAGAAUUUAUUAGAUUAUACAAUUGUCUUCCUAGGAACUUCCUAUGUACUCUUAAAGAACAGAAGCCGUGUCUUGGCUGCACAAUAAACGUGUGUUGCAUUGAAAUUAUUAAGUUGGACUCUCUUCAUCCCAAAACGCAACCCAGACUAGUUAGAAUACGAGCACUUGCCAGAGUCAAUGUGCACAUCUCUCUUAGAAAGGACAGAGUAAACCAUUCUGGCUAUGGAGUGGAGAAAAAAUUAGAAGGCAAGUGGAGACGCAAGUGGACAAAUUAAGGGGCUAAUUGCUAAUUUAGGCAAGAAACAAUUGUAGAUGGACAAAUAAUUGUUGUAUAUUCAUAUAAUGGAAUGGAAUGGAAAACUACACAAUUGAGAAAAAGAACAAACUAUUGAUCUAUGCAACAGCAUGAAUGACUCUCAUAGACGAUGUGACAAGAAAGAAGCCAAACUCCAGAUGUAUACGCUCCCCAGAAUCAAGCACUCACAGAAGUUUGUGGUGAUUCACGGAUUCCCAGCCCAUGAGAGGAUGAGAGAGUACCAUGAGCUGACCACCUGCCAUGACCAGGUACUACACUAAGCGCUUCAUACUCUCCGUCUCAUCUAAUCCACUGAAGAAUCUCGAUGGCCUCAUUGUUUCCCCAGUUUUUCAGUUAUGAGAAGCUGGAUGAGCAAGGCUCUGUGUUAGAGCUAUUGUGGAAACAAUCCUAAGUGCCGGCAGUGCAUGGGGACCGUGACCCAAACCCUUCUACAACAGCCCAAGCCACACCCUGCCAAAGCUCCCAAAGGCGUGGCUUAGGUCUUAUGGUGGAGACGAGAGAGAACCGGGGUCCAGAACGACUCGAGGACAGCUUUGGAAACUCCACCUGCUGGACUGGAGUGAGACAAGCAGAAGGGGAUACGUGUGCUAACACCAUGGUUCUCACCCACACCAAGACAGCAUACUGUGACAGAGGCUGCUGGCUAACCCCCAAAAUUUAUGCUCUCCCUUCUGUAGUGUGAAUUUGUUGCUGGGAGGUGACUGUCCAACCAUAGGUUUAUUUCCCAGUACCCCUUGAAUCCAGGUGUGACCACAGGACUAGUUCUCACCAACGGAGAGUAAGUAGAACUGAGGUGCACCAUUUUCAGAAUUUGCCAUUAGCUGGAAGCAGAAGACAGAAGAUCCACAGGAUGGAAGGAAGCUGGGUGUCUGAAUUACCAUAAGGAAGAAAGCUCCCGGUGAUCAGGAUUAUACACACCAGACUGCUACAUGAUGGAAAAAUAAACUUUUCUUGUGUUAAGC
RNAcentral lists this long non-coding RNA (2024 nucleotides) under Equus caballus (horse). RNAcentral describes it as "lncRNA (ENSECAG00000055675.1)". The record is from RNAcentral. Lineage: Eukaryota; Metazoa; Chordata; Mammalia; Perissodactyla; Equidae.